AUUGAACGCUGGCGGAAUGCUUUACACAUGCAAGUCGAACGGCAGCACGGACUUCGGUCUGGUGGCGAGUGGCGAACGGGUGAGUAAUGUAUCGGAACGUGCCCAGUCGAGGGGGAUAACGUAGUGAAAAUUACGCUAAUACCGCAUACGAUCUAUGGUUGAAAGCGGGGGAUCGCAAGACCUCGCGCGAUUGGAGCGGCCGAUAUCAGAUUAGGUAGUUGGUGGGGUAAAGGCCCACCAAGCCAACGAUCUGUAGCUGGUCUGAGAGGACGACCAGCCAAACUGGAACUGAGACACGGUCCAGACUCCUACGGGAGGCAGCAGUGGGGAAUUUUGGACAAUGGGCGAAAGCCUGAUCCAGCCAUUCCGCGUGCGGGAUGAAGGCCCUCGGGUUGUAAACUGCUUUUGUACAGAACGAAAAGGUUUCUACUAAUACUAGGAGCUCAUGACGGUACUGUAAGAAUAAGCACCGGCUAACUACGUGCCAGCCGCCGCCGUAA
Molecule: ribosomal RNA, 500 nt
Filed under: uncultured bacterium
Lineage: Bacteria
Description: partial 16S ribosomal RNA
Rfam family: Bacterial small subunit ribosomal RNA
Source: RNAcentral